GAUGAACGCUGGCGGCGUGCUUAACACAUGCAAGUCGAACGAUGAAGCCCAGCUUGCUGGGUGGAUUAGUGGCGAACGGGUGAGUAACACGUGAGUAACCUGCCCUUAACUCUGGGAUAAGCCUGGGAAACUGGGUCUAAUACCGGAUAGGAGCGUCCACCGCAUGGUGGGUGUUGGAAAGAUUUAUCGGUUUUGGAUGGACUCGCGGCCUAUCAGCUUGUUGGUGAGGUAAUGGCUCACCAAGGCGACGACGGGUAGCCGGCCUGAGAGGGUGACCGGCCACACUGGGACUGAGACACGGCCCAGACUCCUACGGGAGGCAGCAGUGGGGAAUAUUGCACAAUGGGCGAAAGCCUGAUGCAGCGACGCCGCGUGAGGGAUGACGGCCUUCGGGUGGUAAACCUCUUUCAGUAGGGAAGAAGCGAAAGUGACGGUACCUGCAGAAGAAGCACCGGCUAACUACGU
RNAcentral lists this ribosomal RNA (465 nucleotides) under uncultured bacterium. RNAcentral's name for it is "partial 16S ribosomal RNA". It matches the Rfam family "Bacterial small subunit ribosomal RNA", at positions 28 to 506 of the family's 1533-position model. The record is from RNAcentral.